ACUCCUCUCCUCUCUCCUCUCUGCUCUCUCUGCUCUAAGUACCCUAGCACAUUGAGAAAAACAGCUCAAAUAGCUACUUUGAUCACGAUUUUGAGCGAUUUGAAAGCCGAUUCAGAAGAAGUUUUAGUUGAAGAAAAGAUAGAUCAAGUCAUAAUUUCAUCACUUUGUGAAGUCAUUUGGAGUUUCUAGAGUAAGAUUUGCCGUGCAAAGUGAACUACGAAGUUGAAGGUGAAAAAAUAUCAUCUGAGUGGCAAACAAUGAGGAGAUGACGUGAUUGAAGAAACUGUGUUUCGAUCUUCGAUGUCCCUUUUGAGGUUGACUCCAUUGAUAUAUUACUGGUGAUAUGUUCAUGCUGACGGAUUUUUUUGAACUAUUAUGGCGCUUAAUUUUAUUCGGAACAACAUUCAUAUUGAAGUUGAGGUAUAAAUGACGCUGUGUAAUUUUGUAAAUAUUUUUUAUAUUGAUGUACAGUUGUGAAUGAUGUUACUGAUGCUGCAAAUAUUUCUAGCAGAAAUAUGGUAUUUGUUUAGUCAUAUGAUAUUUAAAUGUUAUCAUCAUACUAUUA
This is a long non-coding RNA of Triticum aestivum (bread wheat), 565 nucleotides long. RefSeq lists it as uncharacterized. The record is from RefSeq and is a predicted model, not a curated record. The transcript has 4 exons. Lineage: Eukaryota; Viridiplantae; Streptophyta; Magnoliopsida; Poales; Poaceae.